UAGGGAAUCUUCGGCAAUGGACGAAAGUCUGACCGAGCAACGCCGCGUGAGUGAAGAAGGUUUUCGGAUCGUAAAACUCUGUUGGUAGAGAAGAACGUUGGUGAGAGUGGAAAGCUCAUCAAGUGACGGUAACUACCCAGAAAGGGACGGCUAACUACGUGCCAGCAGCCGCGGUAAUACGUAGGUCCCGAGCGUUGUCCGGAUUUAUUGGGCGUAAAGCGAGCGCAGGUGGUUUAUUAAGUCUGGUGUAAAAGGCAGUGGCUCAACCAUUGUAUGCAUUGGAAACUGGUAGACUUGAGUGCAGGAGAGGAGAGUGGAAUUCCAUGUGUAGCGGUGAAAUGCGUAGAUAUAUGGAGGAACACCGGUGGCGAAAGCGGCUCUCUGGCCUGUAACUGACACUGAGGCUCGAAAGCGUGGGGAGCAAACAGGAUUAGAUACCCUGGUAGUCCACGCCGUAAACGAUGAGUGCUAGAUGUAGGGAGCUAUAAGUUCUCUGUAUCGCAGCUAA
RNAcentral lists this ribosomal RNA (508 nucleotides) under Lactococcus lactis. RNAcentral describes it as "bacterial SSU rRNA". It matches the Rfam family "Bacterial small subunit ribosomal RNA", at positions 355 to 855 of the family's 1533-position model. The record is from RNAcentral. Lineage: Bacteria; Bacillati; Bacillota; Bacilli; Lactobacillales; Streptococcaceae.